Long non-coding RNA from Canis lupus familiaris (dog), 1814 nucleotides. RefSeq lists it as uncharacterized. Lineage: Eukaryota; Metazoa; Chordata; Mammalia; Carnivora; Canidae. The transcript is spliced from 3 exons. The record is from RefSeq and is a predicted model, not a curated record.
UCUAAGCAAAUGGACAUAAUGGUAACUCCCUCAAGAGGUUGUGAUAAUUAGGAAUAUUUAUCCUCUAGUCUGAGCUCAACAAAGCUUACCCAUUGCUUUGACAAUGAAGGUGAUGAGGAUGAGGAUGUCCUCUAGCUGACAGUCCAGUCUCUGACACCUUUCCUUCUUAAAUCAUGUGGAUAUUUUCCCUGGAAACAACCUUUUCAGCCUGGAAGACAGCUUCUCUCUCUCACUUUUUUUUUUUUAGCUCAUUUUGUAGAUAUGUGCACACAAUAAGUUAACUCUAUGAGGGCAAUCUUUCCCCUUUAUCACUAAGUUCUUAGAGGGUCUCUUAACUAAGCCUCCUGGCAUUAAAAAUGCCCACAACUAGGGAGUUUUCAAACUCCCCUCUUCUCUCUGUGCCCAGGUUGGCAAAAGUUCACAACUCUGAACGGUUAAUUGCAAGUCCUCAGGAACACUGAUUUGUAGAAGAGGGAGAAAAGGCGGACUGCGGACUCUCAAUGCAGGCUGGGCCACCUCAAACCUGUACAAAUGAUCUUAGGGGCUGACCGUGGAAGAGGAGAGCCGGGCAGCUGACAGUCCAGCGCUGGGAAGCGUUAGUGCCGACAGAGGGGCUGGCCUAAGCCAACAGAAGGUCACUCUCGAUCUCACUUUCCUGAAUCCCUUCUUUCUAUCCAAGGGUCCCAUACACAUCCUCCCCCCUCUCCCCCCACGUCCAGAGCUUCUCUCCUCUCUCAUUUCUCUAAACCCAAAUCUACUCCCAGGGAAGAAUCUGAUAAAUUCAUUCGCAUCAUAACGUGAACAAACUCUUCCCAAGAGUAUAUGUAUUUUGAAGACCUAAGGUGAGAAUAGUGGGUCUCUGUGCAAUUUCAGAUGUCAGGGAAAUCAGGUAAGAGGGGUGCGACCCGCUCUGAGGGGACAGGGGAUGGUGCACAAUGGGCGGGAAGGCUAGGGUGAGAGCAGGACAGGCAUUUUCGAGAGGAAGACAGCUCCCUCCCAGCCAGGGCUCCAGGGGCAGAUGGAGGUGACCGUGGGAGCUAAGGAGGCAAAGAGCAGGAAACCUUGAACUCAAAACUCGUGUGGGAAGUUACCUGCUUUUUCCUUCAAGUGAGAGAUUCAAGGGAAGAAGGUAUAUGUAAAACUCACUCAUGUAUACAGUGUCAUUCAUUCAUUUAAAUGAAGUGGUAUUUGCUAUCAGAGAGGCAGCAGAGAGAGCCACGAGCAAGAUAGAGAAGGCCUCUCUGUACCUGAAACAAUGGAACUUUCUCUCCAACUGGCAGGGUGAAGCUAACAACAUACAAUUUCACGUGGUUCUAAGUGCUUUGACAAGAUAAAGCAGGGUAAGGAGAUGCGAGAGCGGCAAGGCAGUUGCACAGGGCAGGUCUGUUUAGAUGAGGUGGCUGGUUAGGUUUACCUAGGUCGGGUUUCCAGAUUUAGCAAAUAAAAAUACAGGACACCCAAUUAAGUUUGAGAGAAACAAUGACAACUUUUUCAAUGUAUGCGUGUCCUGUGCAAUAUCUGGGAUGUACAAGUACCCAAAAAUUAUUCAUUGUUCAUCCAGAAUUCAAAUUUUACUGGGUGUCCUGCAUUUUAUCUUCUAACUCUAGCCCAAGAAACCCCCACAAAUGAGGUGAGGGAGAGUUCCAAGAGAGAAAACUGGAAGGGCAAAGAUUUCCAGGCAGAAAUGAGCUCGGUUUGUUCAGGAAGCUCUAUGUUUUUGGAAUAGGGGUAGUCGGGGGACCCCAGGCACAUGUGAGAAGUCUGCAUGUUAAUCUCAUCUGUUGAAUUGUUUUUUAAGAUUUUAUUUAUUUAUG